This 108-nucleotide small RNA is filed under the name Salmonella enterica subsp. enterica serovar Typhi. Its description in RNAcentral is "StyR-103". The record is from RNAcentral. Lineage: Bacteria; Pseudomonadati; Pseudomonadota; Gammaproteobacteria; Enterobacterales; Enterobacteriaceae.
CAUUUUAUCCUCUUCAAGCUGGUGCUUUAUGUAGUCCUGUAUCUUCGCCGUAUUCUUACCCACCGUAUCGACAUAGUACCCUCUGCACCAGAACUCCCUGUUCCUGUA